Long non-coding RNA from Bos taurus (domestic cattle), 312 nucleotides. The record is from Ensembl. Lineage: Eukaryota; Metazoa; Chordata; Mammalia; Artiodactyla; Bovidae.
AAACGACCUUUAGCACUUUGAGUUAAUAAUCGUGGAAUGCUGCCGGGAUAUAACUUAAUGGGGGUGGAAUCAGCUGUAACCGUCCUUGUUGGUGGCACGCACCAGAGGGGCUCUUCCCACCCAGGGACUGAACCCAGAUCUCCUGCAUUGAGGGAAGAUCCUUCACCUUCUGAAGAGGCUGUUUGUUCCCGCUGGCCAUAGUUUGCUGAUGUUUGCUCUGGAGGCUUGUGAUUGAAAAAUGCUUUCAGGACCCUUGCUUUUCUGGCCAGCAAAAAACUUACAAAAACGAUUCUCAUGUGGGGAACACUCAAG